UCAGCUGUUCACAGGUCAUCCACGUCACAUUACUGUCAGCUGUUCAAUGGUCAUCAACGUCACAUUACUGUCAGCUGUUCACAGGUCAUCCACGUGACAUUACUGUCAGCUGUUCACAGGUCAUCCACGUGACAUUACUGUCAGCUGUUCACAUGGUCAUCCACGUGACAUUACUGUCAGCUGUUCACAGGUCAUCCACGUGACAUUACUGUCAGCUGUUCAAUGGUCAUCAACGUGACAUUACUGUCAGCUGUUCACAGGUCAUCCACGUCACAUUACUGUUAGCUGUUCACAGGUCAUCCGCGUUGGGCAACCU
Long non-coding RNA from Haliotis rubra (blacklip abalone), 316 nucleotides. RefSeq lists it as uncharacterized. The transcript is spliced from 3 exons. The record is from RefSeq and is a predicted model, not a curated record. Lineage: Eukaryota; Metazoa; Mollusca; Gastropoda; Lepetellida; Haliotidae.